GGGGGAUAACCAUUGGAAACGAUGGCUAAUACCGCAUACGCCCUACGGGGGAAAGAGGGGGAUGCUUCGGCACCUUUCGCGAUUGGAUAAGCCUAAGUGAGAUUAGCUAGUUGGUGGGGUAAAGGCUCACCAAGGCGACGAUCUCUAGCUGGUUUGAGAGGAUGAUCAGCCACACUGGAACUGAGACACGGUCCAGACUCCUACGGGAGGCAGCAGUGGGGAAUAUUGCACAAUGGGCGCAAGCCUGAUGCAGCCAUGCCGCGUGUAUGAAGAAGGCCUUCGGGUUGUAAAGUACUUUCAGCGAGGAGGAAAGGUUAGUAGUUAAUACCUGCUAGCUGUGACGUUACUCGCAGAAGAAGCACCGGCUAACUCCGUGCCAGCAGCCGCGGUAAUACGGAGGGUGCGAGCGUUAAUCGGAAUUACUGGGCGUAAAGCGCAUGCAGGCGGUUGAUUAAGCGAGAUGUGAAAGCCCCGGGCUUAACCUGGGAACUGCAUUUCGAACUGGUCAACUAGAGUCUUGUAGAGGGAGGUAGAAUUUCAGGUGUAGCGGUGAAAUGCGUAGAGAUCUGNANGGAAUACCAGUGGCGAANNNGGCCUCCUGGNNAAAGACUGACGCUCANAUGCGAAAGCGUGGGGAGCAACNGNAUUAGA
This 651-nucleotide ribosomal RNA is filed under the name Ferrimonas sp. N18. RNAcentral's name for it is "bacterial SSU rRNA". It matches the Rfam family "Bacterial small subunit ribosomal RNA", at positions 138 to 782 of the family's 1533-position model. The record is from RNAcentral. Lineage: Bacteria; Pseudomonadati; Pseudomonadota; Gammaproteobacteria; Alteromonadales; Ferrimonadaceae.